AGAGUUUGAUCCUGGCUCAGGAUGAACGCUGGCGGCGUGCCUAAUACAUGCAAGUCGAACGCACUGUGGUUCAACUGAUUUGAAGAGCUUGCUCUGAUAUGACGAUGAACAUUGCAGUGAGUGGCGAACGGGUGAGUAACACGUGGGAAACCUACCUCUUAGCGGGGGAUAACAUCUGGAAACAGAUGCUAAUACCGCAUAACAGUAGCAACCGCAUGGUUGCUACUUGAAAGAUGGUUCUGCUAUCACUAAGAGAUGGUCCCGCGGCGCAUUAGUUAGUUGGUGAGGUAAUGGCUCACCAAGACGAUGAUGCGUAGCCGAGUUGAGAGACUGAUCGGCCACAAUAGGACUGAGACACGGCCCAUACUCCUACGGGAGGCAGCAGUAGGGAAUCUUCCACAAUGGACGAAAGUCUGAUGGAGCAACGCCGCGUGUGUGAUGAAGGGUUUCGACUCGUAAAACACUGUUGUAAGAGAAGAAUAGCAUCAAGAGUAACUGCUUGGUGUGUGACGGUAUCUUACCAGAAAGGAACGGCUAAAUACGUGCCAGCAGCCGCGGUAAUACGUAUGUUCCAAGCGUUAUCCGGAUUUAUUGGGCGUAAAGCGAGCGCAGACGGUUUUUUAAGUCCGAAGUGAAAGCCCACAGCUUAACUGUGGAAGUGCUUUGGAAACUGGAUGACUUGAGUGCAGUAGAGGAGAGUGGAAUUCCAUGUGUAGCGGUGAAAUGCGUAGAUAUGUGGAGGACACCAGUGGCGAAGGCGGCUCUCUGGGACUGUAACUGACGUUGAGCUCGAAAGUGUGGGUAGCAAACAGGAUAGAUACCUGGUAGUCCACACCGUAAA
This 841-nucleotide ribosomal RNA is filed under the name uncultured bacterium. RNAcentral's name for it is "bacterial SSU rRNA". It matches the Rfam family "Bacterial small subunit ribosomal RNA", at positions 8 to 806 of the family's 1533-position model. The record is from RNAcentral.